GAUGAACGCUGGCGGCGUGCCUAAUACAUGCAAGUAGAACGCUGAAGGAAGGAGCUUGCUCUUUCCGGAUGAGUUGCGAACGGGUGAGUAACGCGUAGGUAACCUGCCUGGUAGCGGGGGAUAACUAUUGGAAACGAUAGCAAAUACCGCAUAACAGUAGAUGUUGCAUGAUAUCUACUUAAAAGGUGCAAUUGCACCACUACCAGAUGGACCUGCGUUGUAUUAGCUAGUUGGUGAGGUAACGGCUCACCAAGGCGACGAUACAUAGCCGACCUGAGAGGGUGAUCGGCCACACUGGGACUGAGACACGGCCCAGACUCCUACGGGAGGCAGCAGUAGGGAAUCUUCGGCAAUGGACGGAAGUCUGACCGAGCAACGCCGCGUGAGUGAAGAAGGUUUUCGGAUCGUAAAGCUCUGUUGUAAGAGAAGAACGAGUGUGAGAGUGGAAAGUUCACACUGUGACGGUAUCUUACCAGAAAGGGACGGCUAACUACGUG
Molecule: ribosomal RNA, 497 nt
Filed under: uncultured bacterium
Lineage: Bacteria
Description: partial 16S ribosomal RNA
Rfam family: Bacterial small subunit ribosomal RNA
Source: RNAcentral